UCCACCGAUGGCUAUUAAGCACAAUAUUUGAUUAGCAGCUUGUUGCAAUAAAGGUGAUCCUUAGUAGGCGGUUCGACGGAUGGAGGGAUUCGGAGGUGGCCAACUAGUAAAAAGUUUAGACUUAUUCUUUUAUAUAAUUUUUAAUAUUUUGGUUUUAAUUUUUUUUUUGAUUUGGGGUGUAAUAAGGCCUUUCCUCUGGUUAUUAUUUCAAAUUAGGAUUAUUAUUAUUUUUAUGCUUUAUAUUUGUUAGAAGUAGAACAUGGUUUUUCCUAAA
Gossypium arboreum is the source of this 274-nucleotide long non-coding RNA. RefSeq lists it as uncharacterized. The record is from RefSeq and is a predicted model, not a curated record. Lineage: Eukaryota; Viridiplantae; Streptophyta; Magnoliopsida; Malvales; Malvaceae. The transcript has 2 exons.